GUUUUAAUAAUUUAAUUUAAAAUCUUGAUUUUGUAAAUCAAAAAUAAAAUAUAUUUUUUUUAAAAUA
This 67-nucleotide transfer RNA is filed under the name Pseudolycoriella hygida. RNAcentral's name for it is "Bradysia hygida tRNA-Thr". Lineage: Eukaryota; Metazoa; Arthropoda; Insecta; Diptera; Sciaridae. The record is from RNAcentral.